AGUGAACGCUGGCGGCAGGCCUAACACAUGCAAGUCGAGCGGCAGCGCAGCAGUAGCAAUACUGUGGGCGGCGAGCGGCGGACGGGUGAGGAAUACAUCGGAAUUUACCCAAUCGUGGGGGAUAACGUAGGGAGACUUACGCUAAUACCGCAUGAACUGGAGACAGCAAAGCGGCGGACCUUCGGGCGUCGCGCGGUUGGAUGAGCCGAUGUCGGAUUAGCUAGUUGGCGGGGUAAAGGCCCACCAAGGCGACGAUCCGUAGCUGGUCUGAGAGGAUGAUCAGCCACACUGGAACUGAGACACGGUCCAGACUCCUACGGGAGGCAGCAGUGGGGAAUAUUGGACAAUGGGCGCAAGCCUGAUCCAGCCAUGCCGCGUGUGUG
This 383-nucleotide ribosomal RNA is filed under the name uncultured bacterium. RNAcentral's name for it is "bacterial SSU rRNA". It matches the Rfam family "Bacterial small subunit ribosomal RNA", at positions 30 to 407 of the family's 1533-position model. The record is from RNAcentral.